AGGUGCUGAAGUGCAAACCCCAUGCAUUAGUACCAAGAAAAAGAAAUGGGAAACACUAAGUACAGGUUAGAGAUAAGUGCCUCAUGUAUUUUAAGGUAUUAACCAGUUUAAUAUUAAACCCUGUUAUAACCCCUGCUAUCUUUAUGCCACGUUUAUUUCAGGUGAUGAUGUUGUGCCAAGUACUACUUUAUCUGCACAUUUUGCAUCAAAGCAAUGGUCUGUCCAAGAUCUCGAGGGCUACUGCUACCUAGUGGCAAGGCUACAUGAAGGCUGCAUGAGUGAAAAGAGGUGUCCUCUGUGGCUAGAAACAGGUAGAAUUCCCAGAUGAGGUAUUUUAAAGUCUUAUGUAGCAGAAACAGUAGGCACAAGAAGCUCGUUGCCAGAAAGGAAGUCUGGACUGACUGACAAGAUCCCACAUCUAGUAAAUAACAGUUGCAGUGUUUUGAAGAUGUUAAGACAGAUCUGAAAAAUUUAAAACAUACCUGAUUCCAGCCUUCCUGGACAGUCUGGAUCUG
Cuculus canorus (common cuckoo) is the source of this 515-nucleotide long non-coding RNA. RefSeq lists it as uncharacterized. The record is from RefSeq and is a predicted model, not a curated record. NCBI's taxonomy places the organism in Eukaryota, Metazoa, Chordata, Aves, Cuculiformes, Cuculidae. The transcript has 3 exons.